GCUGGGAUAGCUCAGGUAGUAGAGCAUUCCCCUGAAGAGGGAAGGGUCGGCAGUGCAAAUCUGCCUCCCAGCACAA
Molecule: transfer RNA, 76 nt
Filed under: Candidatus Nomurabacteria bacterium RIFCSPLOWO2_01_FULL_39_17
Lineage: Bacteria; Candidatus Nomuraibacteriota
Description: tRNA-Phe
Rfam family: tRNA
About the family: Transfer RNA (tRNA) molecules are approximately 80 nucleotides in length. Their secondary structure includes four short double-helical elements and three loops (D, anti-codon, and T loops).
Source: RNAcentral